GAUGAACGCUGGCGGCGUGCCUAAUACAUGCAAGUCGAGCGAACAGACGAGGAGCUUGCUCCUCUGACGUUAGCGGCGGACGGGUGAGUAACACGUGGAUAACCUACCUAUAAGACUGGGAUAACUUCGGGAAACCGGAGCUAAUACCGGAUAAUAUAUUGAACCGCAUGGUUCAAUAGUGAAAGACGGUUUUGCUGUCACUUAUAGAUGGAUCCGCGCCGCAUUAGCUAGUUGGUAAGGUAACGGCUUACCAAGGCAACGAUGCGUAGCCGACCUGAGAGGGUGAUCGGCCACACUGGAACGGAGCCACGGUCCAGACUCCUACGGGAGGCAGCAGUAGGGAAUCGUCCGCAAUGGGCGAAAGCCUGACGGAGCAACGCCGCGUGAGUGAUGAAGGUCUUCGGCUCGUAAAACUCUGUUAUUAGGGAAGAACAAAUGUGUAAGUAACUAUGCACGUCUUGACGGUACCUAAUCAGAAAGCCACGGCUAACUACGUG
RNAcentral lists this ribosomal RNA (497 nucleotides) under uncultured bacterium. RNAcentral describes it as "partial 16S ribosomal RNA". It matches the Rfam family "Bacterial small subunit ribosomal RNA", at positions 28 to 507 of the family's 1533-position model. The record is from RNAcentral.